This 447-nucleotide ribosomal RNA is filed under the name uncultured bacterium. Its description in RNAcentral is "partial 16S ribosomal RNA". It matches the Rfam family "Bacterial small subunit ribosomal RNA", at positions 329 to 792 of the family's 1533-position model. The record is from RNAcentral.
CGCCAGACUCCUACGGGAGGCAGCAGUGGGGGAUAUUGCACAAUGGGGGAAACCCUGAUGCAGCGACGCCGCGUGUGGGAAGACGGUCCUCUGGAUUGUAAACCACUGUCCCCAGGGACGAAGAUGACGGUACCUGGGGAGGAAGCUCCGGCUAACUACGUGCCAGCAGCCGCGGUAAUACGUAGGGGGCAAGCGUUAUCCGGAUUUACUGGGUGUAAAGGGAGCGUAGACGGCAGAGCAAGUCUGAAGUGAAAGCCCGCGGCCCAACUGCGGGACUGCUUUGGAAACUGCCCGGCUAGAGUGCUGGAGAGGUAAGCGGAAUUCCUAGUGUAGCGGUGAAAUGCGUAGAUAUCAGGAGGAACACCGGUGGCGAAGGCGGCCUGCUGGACUGCGACUGACGUUGAGGCCCGAAAGCGUGGGGAGCAAACAGGAUUAGAUACCCCGGUA